Molecule: long non-coding RNA, 462 nt
Filed under: Ananas comosus (pineapple)
Lineage: Eukaryota; Viridiplantae; Streptophyta; Magnoliopsida; Poales; Bromeliaceae
Description: long non-coding RNA (ACOM_LNC008649)
Source: RNAcentral
ACUCCUACUGAGCAGGACUGUUGUGCUCUCAGGAGCACGGAGGCCUCUGUGCUUUCAGGAGCACGGAGGCCUCCGUGCUCCUGAGCUGUUUUCGACGAUGAAAUUUUCGAAUCGACGAUCGGUUCUAUUAGACUUGAUCUAGCGUAUUUAAAGUUUCUAGAAAAUAUUUUUUGCUAUUUUUCGAUAUCAUUUACCUAGCAAUCAAAAGGAUUCAAAAUCAAUAAUUUUUAAAGGUUGAUGUCUGCCGUUUUCCAAUUUAACGGUGUAUAAGUAUUCAAAUCAAAUGAAUUUUGAUACAAAAUUCUUUAUCCUAUCCACAACAAGAUCACUAUUUCUGAUCGAAAAUUUUAGUGCUAUAUCACCACUUUUUAUAGAAUUUGCUCCUGAGAGCACAACAGUCCUGCUCUACUUCUACCUAUUUUCAUAAAUUGUGAUAAUUUUUUAAUUAUUUAACUAGUAUAU